GUUUCAAUUUUUAUACCCCGGACAUUUUUUAUGGUUUUGAGGAAUAUCCCGAUAAUGUAGGAGUGAGCAGAUAUAGAGAUUCAAGAAAGAAAGAAACAGAGAUAGGAUGAAGAGACAAUAUAUAAUUUUUUUUAUAAGUUUCAGUAAGAUGUGGUCGAAUGGUUAACUUUCUAAAAAAUAUACACCUAUUUUAUUAUGAAAAGGUUCAAGGAAAGAGUUUAAUGAAAGGAUUUAAUGGUUAAUUUUUGAAAAUAUACUUCUUUAAUGAAUAAACAUGUCUUGCUCAAGUGGAUGAUUUUUUUUUUAAGUUUCUAUUAUGAAAGGUUUCACUGAUUUUUUUUUUUUUUUCAACGGUUUCACUGAUUAAGUUUAUGAAAAUAUAAAACUUUUCAAUUAUAAAAGGGUUCAAUAGUUAAGUUUUUGGAAAUAUGCAACUCUUCAAAGAAUAAACAUGUCUUUUGAUUAAGUGAAACUAUAAUAUCAUACUAAGGAAAUGAAAUCAUGACCAUUAGAUUAUUAUAGAUUAGGAACAAACUCCAAUGUUGGAUGUUAAUUAAUUAUUUUCUCUAUGAAAAAAUGAUGAUAUCAACGGUUAAAAAAAGACAGGUUUACUAUUAUAUACAAUUGUUUUAUUAUAGAUUAAUAAUUUAUAUAUAUAUACCCCUUUGUACAUAUAAACCAAAUAAUAUAAGAUUUUGGUUGUAAUAAGUUAUGCUAUAUAUAUAUAUAUUAUUAAUAAUUUUACUGAAAUCAUAUAUUUACAUAUUAUUUUCAGAAACAUUUAAUUUAAAAAAUCCUAUAUAGAAUGGUGAUAUAAGAAAACUUAAAAGUGAGUUCCCCCAUAUUAUAACCCAAAAAUACGAAAUUAAAUUAACUUAAUUUUAGAAAAAAAAUGAUGGGUGCAAAAUAUUAUGUAACGGAAAUAGAGUACAAAAUAUAUGUUUCAUAGAAUUCUCCGCGAUAGAAGAUAGUCUUUUUAAGAACAAUAUAGAAUAAUCAUAAAAUAAAGUAACCAUUGUAAGAGAAGAAUUUAUUUUAACGAACAUAUGCCUUAUAUAUAUAUAUAUAUUUGUAAAACUUACAUAUAUAGUUCACGUGUAAAUAUUAAUCUAAACCAGUAAAAACUAAAAAAUAGAUUUCCUCGUGUAGAGAGGAGAAUAUUAGAAACCGUCAUCUUCUCUGACGGCGAAAUAAGAGCCAACAGGCACCAAACCUUUUCCACGUGAUUAUUGCAAAAAAAAAAAGAAUAAUCUCUCAUUGAUGUUUCUCGUGUAUCGUUCAUCUUUUGAUGAAGAAUCGAUUUUUUUCUUCUUUAUAUCGUCUACCGUUUAGUCUACCGUAUGUUUCUCAUGUUUUUAUCGAUGGCUUUUUUAUGCUGUUGGUGAUCUCAUUAAUCCCAUCAUAUCUCUCUUGGGUUAUCAACAAACAUAUGAUCAAAAACAAAAAGCUGUUAAUUGAUUCAUACUUUUUUCUCCUUUUGGGUGCAAAAUGUACUGGGAAGUGUACUUCGAUGACUCACAACUUUUUUGGCUUUUUUUUUGUUCACUUCAUCUAAAAAGAUAUCGAUUGAAACCGCUAUAGCCACCGUAAGUGACGCAGAAAAUUGCCACCGUAAGUGACGCAGAAAACUUGUAGAUUGUAGGACAUAAAAUUGAAUGGGGGUAAGAGCAAUGGCAAAAGAAUGUAACAAAGAUAAUAUAUAAAUUUUGUAAGAAAUUUUAUUUUGAAAGGGUUGUGUCUUUUGGUUUCAAAAAAAAUGAGAAAGAGUCGUGUCUUUUGAGAAGCAACGAUUCAAAAAUGAAAUAUUAAGACAUACCGUUGAAAGCGGUAGCUGAUGAUGAUAUACAUUAAUACUAAAAGUUUUAGUCUAAAACCCACCCAUUAAAUUUCAUAAGGAAGCAAUCUCUUUUUUUCUUUCUAAUCUUCUUCAAGAAGAUUAAAGAAGAUUAUGCACUGUCAAUUUAGAGGAAGCAAUCUACACUAUUCAAAAGAAAGUAAUAAAGAUAUAAAAUAUAAUUUUGUUAAGAAAUUUUAUUUUGAAAGGAAUGUGUCUUUUGGUGUUUAAAAAAAAUGAGAAAGGGACGUGUACAUACACAACUUUUCUCGGGAUGUUUCUGAAGUGUUCCGUACAAGAGACGGCUGACGUGUACCGUGCAUCAUAUGUAAAAAUAGGCAACGUAGGUAUACAUAUAUUGUUUAGAGAGGUGUGACCAGGCCCGGUCCUCUGGGUAGGCGAUAGAAGCGGUGGCGUGGAGCACAAAAUCUUUAUCCAGUUUUUUUUCAAAGCUAAAUUUGUCCAUUUAAGAAGAAAUUUUUUUAUCCAGCUGAUUAAUGUUUGUAUUUUAGUUUUGAUUAGGGCACUGAACACUCAUGGACCGGCGCUGGGUGUGACUGAAGGGUUGUGUUGUUUAUGAAUGCAAUGAUUCAGAAAAAGAUGCCUAAUAUGAAGGGUUGUGUUGUUUGAGAUUGAAACGAUUCGGGAAAGAUGCCAAAUACGACUAUUUGUGAUGACGUAAGCUAUUUACAGGGAGAUUGAAGAUGUCAUCAAUUUGCUAUUAUAUAUAGAUUUGUGUUUGGUACUUUUCAUAUUAUAAUCAUUGGAAGGCCGCUGUUGGCUGCAUUCACUGUAUUUUUUCUUUAUUGAUCCUAUGUUUUCUUUAUUGACCCUAUGUAUCUCAUAUUCUUUCUGGCAAACUAAAAAUCGCAUUCAUCUCGUGUUCCACAAUUGACUUUUAGGAUCUUCUAACUUGAUUUUGUUAGUUUUGUUAACAUGAUAUUCAUUAUUUAUUGUUUUUGAAAAAAAAGACUUACACAUCAACGUAUUUUAUUUGUACAAUAUGUUAUUUUUUUAUUAGAUGGAAAAAUAAGUCAAAUUGAAAGUUUUUAAGAUACAACUGCCACUUUAAAAGUUUGAAGUACUAACCGAAAAACUUCAACAUUUAAAAUGUUAGUAGAUGUCAAUUUAAAGAUUUUUUUUAUGCGUUUCGCAAAUUAAGAAUAAGAUUUGUCAUAACAAAAAGUAAAUAUUACAAAAAGGUGGUGGACUAUCCGAUUUCAUAGUUUGAUGUAUAUAUACGGAAGCCCUAGAACCAAAGGAGGAGUUGUGUGUGUGAUUUGUUAAAAAGGUGUUCACAGAAUGAAGGCGACGGCUAACAUAGCGGUGUGGUGGGACAUGAAGGACUGUCCGAUUCCGGAGGGUUAUGAGGCUGGUCAGGUCCGAUCGAGUUUAGAAGCAGCGUUCAAGGAACAAGGCUACUCUGGCCCUGUCUCCAUCACUGCCUAUGGCGACCAAACACAAACCCCUGAUCACAUACUGAAAGGGCUCUUAUCCACUGGAGUCUCUGUAGCACAUACCAAAUCCGAGAGCACAUCCUACUUCAUGUAUGAGGAUUUGGUGAAAUGGCGACGUCUGAAUCCUCCUCCUGCUACAAUGAUGAUCAUAUCAGAUCAGGUGGGAGAUAAAUCCACCUGGGAUCUGGUCCGGCUACAGCAACGGACCCUACACAACUUUUUCUGGCUUAUUCAGUUGAGCCAGAAUAUAUGGUUCUCUCCAUUAGUGAACAGUGGUGCUGGAAAAAAUUACUAAGCAGCUCACCACCUGCUGCUGGUGUUCAGGGUGGUGCCAUGUUUUAUUGCAAAUCGUGCAAUUACAAUAGUGGAUACCUGAAGAAAUUCAGGAAGCAUCUCUCUGAGUUACAGUCAUUCACGGGAAGUAAGCAUCCUCUCUCUCUCUCUCUUUCUUUCUCUUUGCGUGAUUGGGGAAGAAACUACAAGGCGACGCCUGAAUUUGCCACAGCUAAAAUACAGGUGUGGUGGGACUUGUUUGACUGUCCGAUACCCCAAGGUUAUGAUGCUCGUCAGGUCCGUCCGAGUAUAGAAGCGGCAGUCAAGGAACUUGGCUACUAUGGUCCUGUCUCCAUCACUGCCUAUGGCGACCAUAAACAUACUCCCCUACAAGCUCUCUCUUCCACUGGUGUCGAUAUUGCACAUACCGUUAGCGAUGUCACAUACUCGCGAAUGUUUAGCGAUAUGUUGGAAUGGCAUCGUAAUAAUCCUCCUCAAACAGCUGCUAUAAUCAUGCUCAUAUCGGAUAAUGUGGAGAUCUUGGAUUGUGGUCUUGUCGGGCUACUACAAGAGAAUAAUUACAACUUUUUUCUGGCUUAUUCGUUUAGGCCUUACAAAAUGUCAUACCUGCUCACUUCUGCUGAAUGGCUCUGGGAAAGCAUACUUUCAGGGGAAAAAAGACUACUUCAGAACUGCAGCAGCAGUGGAAGUGGGAACGAUCAAUCUACUGUUGGGAUUCUCUUUAAGAUAACUUGAUUACUAGGUUAAGAGUAAUCCUAUGUGAGAUAGGAUUAGGAAGUGCUUUGCCUAAUGAGUUUAGAAAAUUAUAUUAUCUAUAUAAAGAGAUGCAAGAGUGUUGCAGCCUUGAGUUUUGCCUAAUGAGUUCUAUUGCAGAUUGUGUGUCGGCUUUAAUACCAAAAGCAUUGAUAAGUUCAGGGCUCAUCUCUCAAGUGAUGAAGAACAUGCACAAGAAGAAAAUGAAAUUCGUGAGCAGAUGGUUUUAUCAGGUGAGAACGAGAGGCUGUGUCAAUUAGCUGAGUACGAUCGACA
Molecule: RNA transcript, 4614 nt
Organism: Brassica napus (rape)
Lineage: Eukaryota; Viridiplantae; Streptophyta; Magnoliopsida; Brassicales; Brassicaceae
Exons: 6
Source: RefSeq, a predicted model, not a curated record